Molecule: microRNA precursor, 149 nt
Filed under: Medicago truncatula (barrel medic)
Lineage: Eukaryota; Viridiplantae; Streptophyta; Magnoliopsida; Fabales; Fabaceae
Description: MIR2619 microRNA precursor family
Rfam family: MIR2619 microRNA precursor family
Source: Rfam by way of RNAcentral
AAACAGCCCCCUAUGUUUUGAUUAUUUGGCAGUUUUGGACCCCCAAGGCAAAAAAAAAAAAAAAAAUUGACACGUGGCACCUCACUUAGGGUGCCAUAAUGGACUGGGGGUCCAAAACUGCUAUAGAAUCAAAACAUAGGGGGCUGUUU